GGGGAUGUAGCUCAGCUGGGAGAGCACCACGUUCGCAACGUGGGGGUCGUGGGUUCGAAUCCCAUCAUCUCCACCA
This 76-nucleotide transfer RNA is filed under the name Slackia faecicanis. RNAcentral describes it as "tRNA-Ala". It matches the Rfam family "tRNA". From Rfam's summary of the family: Transfer RNA (tRNA) molecules are approximately 80 nucleotides in length. Their secondary structure includes four short double-helical elements and three loops (D, anti-codon, and T loops). Lineage: Bacteria; Bacillati; Actinomycetota; Coriobacteriia; Eggerthellales; Eggerthellaceae. RNAcentral also lists the same sequence under 3 other names. The record is from RNAcentral.